GAUUGUGACACAAUAUUAAAGCAGGUUUUGAGUGUCAUUGAACUUCAGUAGAUAUUGAAUUAUUUAUGUUUGGUGGUCACUAUUCCUAGCAAAGGAUUGGUCCUAAUCACUUGCCUUACCAAAGGGUCUCCUGGUUCUCCUGGAUGGAGCUCAGAUAAGAUUUGAGACUCAUUAAACAUUUAGAGAUCUUUAUACCACUGCCUCAGCCCUUCCCUGUUUUGUGAUGGGAACUAGUUUCUGUUUUACAUACAUCAGGAUCAAAGAAAGCUAAGUGCUUUCAUGGUUAAAAGUCUUUUUUAAAAAAAUACUGUUUCACUUAUAAACAUUAACUUUGGUUAGCAUUUUCAUCAGUCACCCCUCCAGUCCUCUCCUUCCUCAUCCCUCCCUCUUUGCAGACAAAUCUCAAAUUAUUUUCAUUAUAUUUACCCUCCUCCUUCCUCCUCCAUUAACCCUCUCUCCCCCAACACACCUCCAUUUUGUAUGUGUGGUGUCUGGGAUUGAACCCAGAGCCUCACACAAACUAGGCAACUGCUCUGCCACUGUGCUGUACUUGCCAGCCCCAAAAUUUGGGCUCACAAAUUUUGCGGCAGUUGAAUUUGAUCCUAAGAUGUCUGGCUGUUGGGUUCCUCCUAUUAUGACCACCGUCCACCAGGUGCUGUGUGAGCCAGUCAGACACAUCCUUUACCUUUGUCCAAGACAGACAGUGAUAAAGGGCAGGUUGGGGGAAUGAAUAACCAGACAAUACAUUGUGUUUGUAUUUGGCAGGGGUCCAGAACCUGUCUUUGACAUUAGGCAACAAUAUGUCCAGUUGCUGCAUGCUAAUUUUACUAACCUACAUUAUUCAGCCUAGGAGAUUUUCCUGUCUCUGAUAUUCCUAUAGUUGCUCAUAAGCAGAAACUCUUUGUGGAAUAUAUUCUACAUGGUUUUUGGAAUGAAUACAUAUAGUAGUUCCUUUAAAGCAAUGCUUUGUUGCAUAUAUGUUCAGCAAUGUGAAUUUUUACUUGCUCUUGGUUCAAAAUUAUAGUCCCUGAUGUUGGAAAUAAAACGUAAGAAAUUGUUCUAGA
Long non-coding RNA from Perognathus longimembris pacificus (Pacific pocket mouse), 1064 nucleotides. RefSeq lists it as uncharacterized. The transcript is spliced from 2 exons. Lineage: Eukaryota; Metazoa; Chordata; Mammalia; Rodentia; Heteromyidae. The record is from RefSeq and is a predicted model, not a curated record.